AUGAGGUGUGGAUAGCGGAGAAAUUCCAAUCGAACCCGGAGAUAGCUGGUUCUCCCCGAAAUAGCUUUAGGGCUAGCGUCGAGGUAAGUUGCGUGAAGGUAGAGCACUGAAUAUGUGAUGGCCCCAUCUCGGGGUACUGAGCAUAAUCAAACUGCGAAUGUCACGCCAACAUGCUCGGCAGUCAGACAGCGGGUGAUAAGGUCCGUUGUCAAGAGGGAAACAGCCCAGACCAUCAGCUAAGGUCCCAAAAUGUAUGCUAAGUGGAAAAGGAUGUGGAGAUGUACAGACAACUAGGAGGUUGGCUCAGAAGCAGCCAUCCUUUAAAGAGUGCGUAACAGCUCACUAGUCGAAUGACUCUGCGCCGAUAAUUUACCGGGGCUAAGCAUACUACCGAAGCUAUGGAUCCCAAGGGAUGGUAGGGGAGCGUUCCAUGAACGGAGAAGUACGACCGAAAGGACGUGUGGAGAUCAUGGAAGAGAGAAUGCCGGUGUGAGUAGCGGAACGUGGGUGAGAAUCCCACGCACCGAAAACCCAAGGUUUCCAGAGGAAGGUUCGUCCGCUCUGGGUAAGUCGGGACCUAAGGCGAGGCCGAAAGGCGUAGUCGAUGGACAACAGGUAGAGAUUCCUGUACCCGUAUAUAUGUGAAGGAAUGACGGAGAGAGGAAGCUGCAGCCAGCGGCUGGAAGAGCUGGUGCAAGCGAGAUAUCGGGAUGGCAGGCAAAUCCACCAUCCGAAACGAGAAGGCGUGAAGCGUACGGAAAGCUACGGCGAGUACGGAAGGCAGUGGAGGAACUUCCAAGAAAAGUUUCUAACGUAAAGUAUAUAUGGCCCGUACCGAAAAUGGACACACAUGGGUGAGGAGAGAAUCCUAAGGUGAGCGAGAGAACUAUAGCUAAGGAACUCUGCAAAAUGACUCCGUAACUUAGGGAGAAGGAGUGCUCAUAGAGAUAUGAGCCGCAGUGAAACGGCCCAAGCGACUGUUUACCAAAAACACAGGACUCUGCAGAAGCCGCAAGGCGACGUAUAGGGUCUGACGCCUGCCCGGUGCCGGAAGGUCACGCGGAGGAGUUAGCGCAUCGCGCGAAGCCCCGAAGCCAAGCCCCGGUAAACGGCGGCCGUAACUAUAACGGUCCUAAGGUAGCGAAAUUCCUUGUCGGGUAAGUUCCGACCUGCACGAAAGGCGCAACGACUUGGGCGCUGUCUCGACCAUGGACCCGGUGAAAUUGCACUGGUCGUGAAGAUGCGACUUACCCGCGGAAGGACGGAAAGACCCCGUGAACCUUCACUGCAGCUUGGCAUUGGCCGCUGGUCCCGCGUGUAGAGGAUAGGCAGGAGGCAUCGAUCCGGAGGCGCCAGCCCCCGGGGAGCCGCCCUUGGAAUACUGCCCUCGCGCGACCGGCGUCCUAACCCGAGGCCGUCAACCGGCUCGGGGACCGUGCCAGGCGGGCAGUUUGACUGGGGCGGUCGCCUCCUAAAGGGUAACGGAGGCGCGCGAAGGUCCGCUCGGGACGGUCGGCAACCGUCCUUUUGAAUGCAAGAGUACAAGCGGGCUUGACUGCGAGGCCCACAAGCCGAGCAGGUGCGAAAGCAGGCUCUAGUGAUCCGGCGGCCCCGAGUGGGUGGGCCGUCGCUCAACGGAUAAAAGGUACUCCGGGGAUAACAGGCUGAUCUUGCCCAAGAGUCCACAUCGACGGCAAGGUUUGGCACCUCGAUGUCGGCUCAUCGCAUCCUGGGGCUGGAGCAGGUCCCAAGGGUACGGCUGUUCGCCGUUUAAAGCGGUACGCGAGCUGGGUUCAGAACGUCGUGAGACAGUUCGGUCCCUAUCCUCCGUGGGCGCAGGAGAAUCGAUGGAGGCUGCCCCCAGUACGAGAGGACCGGGGUGGACGCACCUCCGGUGAACCGGUUGUCGACCAACGGCACGGCCGGGUAGCCGCGUGCGGCGCGGAUAACCGCUGAAGGCAUCUAAGCGGGAAGCCGUUCCAGGGAUUAGUUCUCCUUCCGGUAAGGGCCCAGGUAGACUACCUGGUCGAUAGACGGCAGGUGCAAGGACGGCGACGUCCUCAGCCGAGCCGCACUAAUCGCCCGAGCUCUUCCGGAA
RNAcentral lists this ribosomal RNA (2098 nucleotides) under human gut metagenome. Its description in RNAcentral is "bacterial LSU rRNA". It matches the Rfam family "Bacterial large subunit ribosomal RNA", at positions 804 to 2925 of the family's 2925-position model. The record is from RNAcentral.